ACUGACAGCCAUGGUUACCGCGGCUGCUGGCACGGAGUUAGCCGGUGCUUCUUCUGUGAGUGAUGUCCUUCCUGCCGGUUAUUGACCCGCAGGCCUUCUUCCUCACUGAAAGUGAUUUACAACCCGAAGGCCUUCUUCACACACGCGGCAUGGCUGGAUCAGGGUUGCCCCCAUUGUCCAAUAUUCCCCACUGCUGCCUCCCGUAGGAGUCUGGGCCGUGUCUCAGUCCCAGUGUGGCUGAUCAUCCUCUCAGACCAGCUACGGAUCGUCGCCUUGGUGAGCCGUUACCUCACCAACCAGCUAAUCCGACAUAGGCUCAUCCGAUAGCGCGAGGCCCGAAGGUCCCCCGNUUUCCCCCGUAGGGCUAUGCGGUAUUAGCCUGGGUUUCCCCAGGUUAUCCCCCAUCCGGGCAGAUUCCUAUGCAUUACUCA
Molecule: ribosomal RNA, 431 nt
Filed under: uncultured bacterium
Lineage: Bacteria
Description: partial 16S ribosomal RNA
Source: RNAcentral